CUACGGGGUGCACCAGUGAGGAAUAUUGCACAAUGGGGGGAACCCUGAUGCAGCAACGCCGCGUGGAGGAUGACGCAUUUCGGUGUGUAAACUCCUUUUAUAUGUCAAGAAAAUGACGGUAGCAUAUGAAUAAGCACCGGCUAACUCCGUGCCAGCAGCCGCGGUAAUACGGAGGGUGCAAGCGUUACUCGGAAUCACUGGGCGUAAAGGGCGUCGUAGGCGGGUUGGAAAGUCAGGUGUGAAAUCCUACAGCUUAACUGUAGAACUGCACUUGAAACUUCUAAUCUAGAGUAUGGGAGGGGGAGAUGGAAUUAGUGGUGUAGGGGUAAAAUCCGUAGAUAUCACUAGGAAUACCUAAAGCGAAGGCGAUCUCCUGGAACAUUACUGACGCUAAGGCGUGAAAGCGUGGGGAGCAAACAGGAUUAGAUACCCCGGUAGUC
Molecule: ribosomal RNA, 440 nt
Filed under: uncultured bacterium
Lineage: Bacteria
Description: partial 16S ribosomal RNA
Rfam family: Bacterial small subunit ribosomal RNA
Source: RNAcentral